GCCUCCAUAGCUCAGUGGUAGAGCGUCAGUCUUGUAAACUGAAGGUCUGUAGAUCGAUCCUGCAUGGAGGCA
This is a non-coding RNA of Triticum aestivum (bread wheat), 72 nucleotides long. NCBI's taxonomy places the organism in Eukaryota, Viridiplantae, Streptophyta, Magnoliopsida, Poales, Poaceae. The record is from Rfam.